CAAAGGUGAGCCAGUACAGGAUGGACCCGCGUCUGAUUAGCUAGUUGGUAAGGUAACGGCUUACCAAGGCGACGAUCAGUAGCCGACCUGAGAGGGUGAUCGGCCACAUUGGAACUGAGACACGGUCCAAACUCCUACGGGAGGCAGCAGUGGGGAAUAUUGCACAAUGGGCGAAAGCCUGAUGCAGCAACGCCGCGUGAGUGAUGAAGGCCUUCGGGUCGUAAAACUCUGUCCUCAAGGAAGAUAAUGACGGUACUUGAGGAGGAAGCCCCGGCUAACUACGUGCCAGCAGCCGCGGUAAUACGUAGGGGGCUAGCGUUAUCCGGAUUUACUGGGCGUAAAGGGUGCGUAGGCGGUCUUUCAAGUCAGGAGUGAAAGGCUACGGCUCAACCGUAGUAAGCUCUUGAAACUGGGAGACUUGAGUGCAGGAGAGGAGAGUGGAAUUCCUAGUGUAGCGGUGAAAUGCGUAGAUAUUAGGAGGAACACCAGUUGCGAAGGCGGCUCUCUGGACUGCAACUGACGCUGAGGCACGAAAGCGUGGGGAGCAAACAGGAUUAGAUACCCUGGUAGUCCACGCUGUAAACGAUGAGUACUAGGUGUCGGGGGUUACCCCCUUCG
RNAcentral lists this ribosomal RNA (618 nucleotides) under uncultured bacterium. RNAcentral's name for it is "bacterial SSU rRNA". It matches the Rfam family "Bacterial small subunit ribosomal RNA", at positions 202 to 842 of the family's 1533-position model. The record is from RNAcentral.